This 301-nucleotide ribosomal RNA is filed under the name uncultured bacterium. RNAcentral describes it as "partial 16S ribosomal RNA". It matches the Rfam family "Bacterial small subunit ribosomal RNA", at positions 509 to 807 of the family's 1533-position model. The record is from RNAcentral.
CAGUCGCCACGGUAAUACGGAGGGAGCUAGCGUUGUUCGGAAUUACUGGGCGUAAAGCGCGCGUAGGCGGUUACUCAAGUCAGAGGUGAAAGCCCGGGGCUCAACCCCGGAACUGCCUUUGAAACUAGGUGACUAGAAUCUUGGAGAGGUCAGUGGAAUUCCGAGUGUAGAGGUGAAAUUCGUAGAUAUUCGGAAGAACACCAGUGGCGAAGGCGGCUCACUGGCUCAUACUGGACGCUGAGGUGCGAAAGCGUGGGGAGCAAACAGGAUUAGAUACCCCCGUAGUCCCUGUCUCUUAUAC